RNAcentral lists this ribosomal RNA (269 nucleotides) under uncultured Rikenellaceae bacterium. RNAcentral describes it as "partial 16S ribosomal RNA". It matches the Rfam family "Bacterial small subunit ribosomal RNA", at positions 71 to 339 of the family's 1533-position model. The record is from RNAcentral. Lineage: Bacteria; Pseudomonadati; Bacteroidota; Bacteroidia; Bacteroidales; Rikenellaceae.
CACGAGUGUUUACACUUGGUGGCGACCGGCGCAAGGGUGCGUAACGCGUGAGCAACAUGCCCGUAUCAGGGGGAUAAUCCAGGGAAACUUGGUCUAAUACCGCAUAAUAAAUCUUGAAGGCAUCUUCAUGGAUUUAAAAUUUCGAUGGAUACGGAUUGGCUCGCGUGACAUUAGCUAGAUGGUAAGGUAACGGCUUACCAUGGCAAUGAUGUCUAGGGGUUCUGAGAGGAAGGUCCCCCACACUGGAACUGAGACACGGUCCAGACUCC